This 300-nucleotide long non-coding RNA is filed under the name Rattus norvegicus (Norway rat). RNAcentral describes it as "long non-coding RNA NONRATT011632". The record is from RNAcentral. Lineage: Eukaryota; Metazoa; Chordata; Mammalia; Rodentia; Muridae.
GUGGGUCCCCGGCACCAUGAGCAAACGCAAGGCCCCGCAGGAGACCCUCAACGGCGGCAUCACGGACAUGCUCGUGGAACUCGCAAACUUUGAGAAGAACGUGAGCCAGGCGAUCCACAAGUACAAUGCAUACAGAAAAGCAGCAUCUGUGAUAGCAAAGUACCCACACAAAAUCAAGAGUGGAGCAGAAGCUAAGAAAUUGGUAAGCAUAAUGACCAGUAGUGAACCCCGUCUUUGGAGGGGUGGGGGAAAGAAAGAAACUGGGUCACGUCAUAUUAGUGUGCAUACCUGAGGUUUAAA